UACGGAGGGUGCAAGCGUUAUCCGGAUUCACUGGGUUUAAAGGGCGCGUAGGCGGCCUGGCAAGUGGAUGGUGAAAUCCCUCGGCUUAACCGAGGAACUGCCAUCCAGACUGCUUGGCUUGAGACCGGGAGAGGUGAGUGGAAUUCCCAGUGUAGCGGUGAAAUGCGUAGAUAUUGGGAGGAACACCAGUGGCGAAGGCGGCUCACUGGACCGGUACUGACGCUGAGGCGCGAAAGCGUGGGGAGCAAACGGG
RNAcentral lists this ribosomal RNA (253 nucleotides) under uncultured bacterium. RNAcentral describes it as "partial 16S ribosomal RNA". It matches the Rfam family "Bacterial small subunit ribosomal RNA", at positions 524 to 776 of the family's 1533-position model. The record is from RNAcentral.